AACGAACGCUGGCGGCAUGCCUAACACAUGCAAGUCGAACGAGACCUUCGGGUCUAGUGGCGCACGGGUGCGUAACGCGUGGGAACCUGCCCUUAGGUUCGGAAUAACUCCCCGACAGGGGUGCUAAUACCGGAUAAUGUCUUCGGCCCAAAGAUUUAUCGCCUUUGGUUGGGCCCGCGUUGGAUUAGCUAGUUGGUAGGGUAAAAGCCUACCAAGGCGACGAUCCAUAGCUGGUUUGAGAGGAUGAUCAGCCACACUGGGACUGAGACACGGCCCAGACUCCUACGGGAGGCAGCAGUGGGGAAUAGUGGACAAUGGGCGAAAGCCUGAACCAGCAAUGACGCGUGAGUGAUGAAGGCAUUAGGGUUGUAAAGCGCUUUUACCCGGGAUGAUAAUGACAGUACCGGGAGAAUAAGCUACGGCUAACUCCGUG
Molecule: ribosomal RNA, 433 nt
Filed under: uncultured bacterium
Lineage: Bacteria
Description: partial 16S ribosomal RNA
Rfam family: Bacterial small subunit ribosomal RNA
Source: RNAcentral